GAUGAACGCUGGCGGCGUGCCUAAUACAUGCAAGUCGAGCGAACAGAUGAGGAGCUUGCUCCUCUGACGUUAGCGGCGGACGGGUGAGUAACACGUGGAUAACCUACCUAUAAGACUGGGAUAACUUCGGGAAACCGGAGCUAAUACCGGAUAAUAUAUUGAACCGCAUGGUUCAAUAGUGAAAGACGGUUUUGCUGUCACUUAUAGAUGGAUCCGCGCCGCAUUAGCUAGUUGGUAAGGUAACGGCUUACCAAGGCAACGAUGCGUAGCCGACCUGAGAGGGUGAUCGGCCACACUGGAACUGAGACACGGUCCAGACUCCUACGGGAGGCAGCAGUAGGGAAUCUUCCGCAAUGGGCGAAAGCCUGACGGAGCAACGCCGCGUGAGUGAUGAAGGUCUCCGGAUCGUAAAACUUUGUUAUUAGGGAAGAACAAAUGUGUAAGUAACUAUGCACGUCUUGACGGUACCUAAUCAGAAAGCCACGGCUAACUACGUG
Molecule: ribosomal RNA, 497 nt
Filed under: uncultured bacterium
Lineage: Bacteria
Description: partial 16S ribosomal RNA
Rfam family: Bacterial small subunit ribosomal RNA
Source: RNAcentral